This is a long non-coding RNA of Leptopilina boulardi, 417 nucleotides long. RefSeq lists it as uncharacterized. NCBI's taxonomy places the organism in Eukaryota, Metazoa, Arthropoda, Insecta, Hymenoptera, Figitidae. The record is from RefSeq and is a predicted model, not a curated record. The transcript has 3 exons.
AAGUGUUUGUCAACGUAAACGACAAGUUGAAAGAUCAUGAAAUGGAUGAAAUGCGUGCUCCAGCAGUAGGAUAUGAAUAUUCAAGCAACAUACAUGUCGGGCGAGGAGUUUGGAUCGCGAAAGAUACUUACACAUUAGCAAUUCACAACAUAAAAUUUUCAACGAGAAGAAAAUUUGUCCGCAAAAUUUUAAUAUCUAUUUUUGGACACGAUGUUUUGGCUGCAAGCACAAUAACUGGAAAAACCAGCAACUGAAGUAAAAACCAGAAACAACCAGAAGCCUUGGAUCCUACAAAGUUAUUAGCAGUGAAAGAUAUAUAUCGAUAUUUCUUGGAAGACGAAUUCAAAUUGGCACCUCAAAUGCCGAAAUAGAAGCAAACAAAACUAACCAAUUCGUUACAAAAAAAAUAGCUCAAUU